RNAcentral lists this ribosomal RNA (577 nucleotides) under Pseudoxanthomonas sp. A36C12. Its description in RNAcentral is "bacterial SSU rRNA". It matches the Rfam family "Bacterial small subunit ribosomal RNA", at positions 56 to 623 of the family's 1533-position model. The record is from RNAcentral. Lineage: Bacteria; Pseudomonadati; Pseudomonadota; Gammaproteobacteria; Lysobacterales; Lysobacteraceae.
UGCAGUCGAACGGCAGCACGAGAGAGCUUGCUCUCUUGGUGGCGAGUGGCGGACGGGUGAGGAAUACAUCGGAAUCUACCUUUUGGUGGGGGAUAACGUAGGGAAACUUACGCUAAUACCGCAUACGCCCUUCGGGGGAAAGCCGGGGACCUUCGGGCCUGGCGCUGAUAGAUGAGCCGAUGUCGGAUUAGCUAGUUGGUGAGGUAAUGGCUCACCAAGGCGACGAUCCGUAGCUGGUCUGAGAGGAUGAUCAGCCACACUGGAACUGAGACACGGUCCAGACUCCUACGGGAGGCAGCAGUGGGGAAUAUUGGACAAUGGGCGCAAGCCUGAUCCAGCCAUACCGCGUGGGUGAAGAAGGCCUUCGGGUUGUAAAGCCCUUUUGUUGGGAAAGAAAAGCAAUCGGUUAAUACCCGGUUGUUCUGACGGUACCCAAAGAAUAAGCACCGGCUAACUUCGUGCCAGCAGCCGCGGUAAUACGAAGGGUGCAAGCGUUACUCGGAAUUACUGGGCGUAAAGCGUGCGUAGGUGGUGGUUUAAGUCCGUUGUGAAAGCCCUGGGCUCAACCUGGGAAUUG